ACAGAAGGACAGACACCGGGACUGCAGCCACCCAGGGACACCUUUGAGGUGAGCACCCUGUCCCCUCUGCAUUAUGUCCCUGGUGGUGAAGGAAAAGAACCAUGUGCGGUUGGUCUUCCUGGGCGCUGCCGGUGUCGGCAAGACAGCCCUUAUCCGCCGCUUCCUGAUGGACACCUUUGAGCCCAAGCACCGGCGCACGGUGGAGGAGUUGCACAGCAAGGAAUACGAGGUGAGCGGGGCCACGGUCAAGGUGGAAAUCCUGGACACCAGUGGCAGCUACUCCUUCCCAGCCAUGAGGAAGCUCUCAAUCCAGAACAGUGAUGCCUUCGCCCUGGUCUAUGCCAUAGACGAUGCCGAGUCCUUUGAGAGCAUCAAGAGCUUGCGGGAGGAGAUCCUGGAGGUGAAGGAAGACAAGUUCCCUCCUAUCGUGGUGGUUGGCAACAAGGCGGAGAGCGGCAGCAAGCGGCGGGUGCCGGUGGAGGAUGCUCUGUCGCUGGUGGAGCUGGACUGGAACAGCCGCUUUGUGGAGACGUCUGCCAAGGACAAUGAGAACGUCCUGGAGGUCUUCAGGGAGCUGCUGCAGCAAGCCAAUCUGCCCAGCCGGCUCAGCCCAGCGCUCUGCAGGAGGAGGGAGACGCUGCCCAAGGAGCAGGCGCUGAGGCCUCCCAUGAACAAGACCAACAGCUGCUCCAUGUGCUGAGCC
Molecule: RNA transcript, 703 nt
Organism: Nestor notabilis (Kea)
Lineage: Eukaryota; Metazoa; Chordata; Aves; Psittaciformes; Psittacidae
Gene name: GTP-binding protein Rhes pseudogene
Exons: 1
Source: RefSeq, a predicted model, not a curated record